UGGCUCAGUGGUUAAGAGCACUGACUGCUCAUCCAGAGGUCCUGAGUUCAAUUCUCAG
Non-coding RNA from Rattus norvegicus (Norway rat), 58 nucleotides. Lineage: Eukaryota; Metazoa; Chordata; Mammalia; Rodentia; Muridae. The record is from Rfam.